RNAcentral lists this long non-coding RNA (215 nucleotides) under Ananas comosus (pineapple). RNAcentral describes it as "long non-coding RNA (ACOM_LNC014891)". The record is from RNAcentral. Lineage: Eukaryota; Viridiplantae; Streptophyta; Magnoliopsida; Poales; Bromeliaceae.
ACUCAAAAUCCCAAUGAUCGGGGAGAUACUCGCUACACCCGAUGGAACCGCCCUCUGGGGAGAUACUCGCUACACCCAGUGAUGUCGACUCCGGAGCACAUCGCCCGAGGGGGAGCUACCACAACCUCGAGCAAGGACUAAAGUGAGUACGAUCAAUCCUACAGUUGAGGAUUCCAAGUUCAAUCCAUUCCUUAACUUUAAGGAAGACUAUGCUC